GACGAACGCUGGCGGCGUGCCUAAUACAUGCCAGUAGAACGCUGAAGAGAGGAGCUUGCUCUUCUUGGAUGAGUUGCGAACGGGUGAGUAACGCGUAGGUAACCUGCCUUGUAGCGGGGGAUAACUAUUGGAAACGAUAGCUAAUACCGCAUAACAAUGGAUGACACAUGUCAUUUAUUUGAAAGGGGCAAUUGCUCCACUACAAGAUGGACCUGCGUUGUAUUAGCUAGUAGGUGAGGUAAUGGCUCACCUAGGCGACGAUACAUAGCCGACCUGAGAGGGUGAUCGGCCACACUGGGACUGAGACACGGCCCAGACUCCUACGGGAGGCAGCAGUAGGGAAUCUUCGGCAAUGGGGGCAACCCUGACCGAGCAACGCCGCGUGAGUGAAGAAGGUUUUCGGAUCGUAAAGCUCUGUUGUAAGUCAAGAACGGGUGUGAGUGUGGAAAGUUCACACUGUGACGGUAGCUUACCAGAAAGGGACGGCUAACUACGUG
RNAcentral lists this ribosomal RNA (497 nucleotides) under uncultured bacterium. RNAcentral's name for it is "partial 16S ribosomal RNA". It matches the Rfam family "Bacterial small subunit ribosomal RNA", at positions 28 to 507 of the family's 1533-position model. The record is from RNAcentral.